ACGUAGGGUGCGAGCGUUAAUCGGAAUUACUGGGCGUAAAGCGUGCGCAGGCGGUUCGCCAAGACGGGUGUGAAAUCCCCGGGCUCAACCUGGGAAUUGCGUUCGAAACUGGCAGGCUAGAGUAUUGUAGAGGGGGGUAGAAUUCCAGGUGUAGCGGUGAAAUGCGUAGAGAUCUGGAGGAAUACCGAUGGCGAAGGCAGCCCCCUGGACAAAGACUGACGCUCAGGUGCGAAAGCGUGGGGAGCAAACAG
RNAcentral lists this ribosomal RNA (251 nucleotides) under uncultured prokaryote. RNAcentral's name for it is "partial 16S ribosomal RNA". It matches the Rfam family "Bacterial small subunit ribosomal RNA", at positions 525 to 775 of the family's 1533-position model. The record is from RNAcentral.